This is a long non-coding RNA of Peromyscus eremicus (cactus mouse), 421 nucleotides long. RefSeq lists it as uncharacterized. The record is from RefSeq and is a predicted model, not a curated record. The transcript is spliced from 2 exons. Lineage: Eukaryota; Metazoa; Chordata; Mammalia; Rodentia; Cricetidae.
GACACAUGGAGAUGCUAUGGAUGUUGAGUGAGAUAGAUGAUGGCCCUGAGGCUUAUGCGCCAUGAGUGGAGCCAAGGAGGAAAACAGGAAUUCCAGAGAUGUCUUCCUUGAAUGCUUCUCAUGAAAGAUGACUCUAUCACGUCUUCUAAUAUCUUCAUAGAAACUGGAGUGUUCCUGUUAGGCAAGAAUCCAAAGAAGAUAUUGAGCAAUGUAUAACCAGGGACUUCAUUGCCUUCACAGAAUUUUAAUAUCGCUGCAACUUCCCAGUACGGACUUGUGCUUGUCUCAUAGAACGGGACCACAAGAUGCAGUAUUUUAAAGUUGAUCAUCACAACCCAAAACUUUAUAAAAAUCAAUGUGAAGUUAUUAAAAUGAUUAUUUUGAAAUCAUUUCAAAUGUUAAUAAAGCCUGUUUGAAAUUC